AAUGGUGCCGUAACUUCGGGAGAAGGCACGCUGAUAUGUAGGUGAAGUCCCUCGCGGAUGGAGCUGAAAUCAGUCGAAGAUACCAGCUGGCUGCAACUGUUUAUUAAAAACACAGCACUGUGCAAACACGAAAGUGGACGUAUACGGUGUGACGCCUGCCCGGUGCCGGAAGGUUAAUUGAUGGGGUCAGCGCAAGCGAAGCUCUUGAUCGAAGCCCCGGUAAACGGCGGCCGUAACUAUAACGGUCCUAAGGUAGCGAAAUUCCUUGUCGGGUAAGUUCCGACCUGCACGAAUGGCGUAAUGAUGGCCAGGCUGUCUCCACCCGAGACUCAGUGAAAUUGAACUCGCUGUGAAGAUGCAGUGUACCCGCGGCAAGACGGAAAGACCCCGUGAACCUUUACUAUAGCUUGACACUGAACAUUGAGCCUUGAUGUGUAGGAUAGGUGGGAGGCUUAGAAGUGUGGACGCCAGUCUGCAUGGAGCCGACCUUGAAAUACCACCCUUUAAUGUUUGAUGUUCUAACGUUGACCCGUAAUCCGGGUUGCGGACAGUGUCUGGUGGGUAGUUUGACUGGGGCGGUCUCCUCCUAAAGAGUAACGGAGGAGCACGAAGGUUGGCUAAUCCUGGUCGGACAUCAGGAGGUUAGUGCAAUGGCAUAAGCCAGCUUGACUGCGAGCGUGACGGCGCGAGCAGGUGCGAAAGCAGGUCAUAGUGAUCCGGUGGUUCUGAAUGGAAGGGCCAUCGCUCAACGGAUAAAAGGUACUCCGGGGAUAACAGGCUGAUACCGCCCAAGAGUUCAUAUCGACGGCGGUGUUUGGCACCUCGAUGUCGGCUCAUCACAUCCUGGGGCUGAAGUAGGUCCCAAGGGUAUGGCUGUUCGCCAUUUAAAGUGGUACGCGAGCUGGGUUUAGAACGUCGUGAGACAGUUCGGUCCCUAUCUGCCGUGGGCGCUGGAGAACUGAGGGGGGCUGCUCCUAGUACGAGAGGACCGGAGUGGACGCAUCACUGGUGUUCGGGUUGUCAUGCCAAUGGCACUGCCCGGUAGCUAAAUGCGGAAGAGAUAAGUGCUGAAAGCAUCUAAGCACGAAACUUGCCCCGAGAUGAGUUCUCCCUGACUCCUUGAGAGUCCUGAAGGAACGUUGAAGACGACGACGUUGAUAGGCCGGGUGUGUAAGCGCAGCGAUGCGUUGAGCUAACCGGUACUAAUGAACCGUGAGGCUUAACCUU
RNAcentral lists this ribosomal RNA (1227 nucleotides) under Escherichia coli. RNAcentral describes it as "partial 23S ribosomal RNA". It matches the Rfam family "Bacterial large subunit ribosomal RNA", at positions 1721 to 2925 of the family's 2925-position model. The record is from RNAcentral. Lineage: Bacteria; Pseudomonadati; Pseudomonadota; Gammaproteobacteria; Enterobacterales; Enterobacteriaceae.